GAUGAACGCUAGCUACAGGCUUAACACAUGCAAGUCAAGGGGCAGCAGGAUCUAGCAAUAGAUUGCUGGCGACCGGCGCACGGGUGAGUAACACGUAUCCAACCUGCCGAUAACUCGGGGAUAGCCUUUCGAAAGAAAGAUUAAUACCCGAUGGUAUAAUCAGACCGCAUGGUUUGAUUAUUAAAGAAUUUCGGUUAUCGAUGGGGAUGCGUUCCAUUAGGCAGUUGGUGAGGUAACGGCUCACCAAACCUUCGAUGGAUAGGGGUUCUGAGAGGAAGGUCCCCCACAUUGGAACUGAGACACGGUCCAAACUCCUACGGGAGGCAGCAGUGAGGAAUAUUGGUCAAUGGACGCGAGUCUGAACCAGCCAAGUAGCGUGAAGGAUGACUGCCCUAUGGGUUGUAAACUUCUUUUAUAUGGGAAUAAAGUUUUCCACGUGUGGAAUUUUGUAUGUACCAUAUGAAUAAGGAUCGGCUAACUCCGUGCCAGCAGCCGCGGUAAUACGGAGGAUCCGAGCGUUAUCCGGAUUUAUUGGGUUUAAAGGGAGCGUAGGUGGACAGUUAAGUCAGUUGUGAAAGUUUGCGGCUCAACCGUAAAAUUGCAGUUGAUACUGGCUGUCUUGAGUACAGUAGAGGUGGGCGGAAUUCGUGGUGUAGCGGUGAAAUGCUUAGAUAUCACGAAGAACUCCGAUUGCGAAGGCAGCUCACUGGACUGCAACUGACACUGAUGCUCGAAAGUGUGGGUAUCAAACAGGAUUAGAUACCCUGGUAGUCCACACAGUAAACGAUGAAUACUCGCUGUUUGCGAUAUACAGUAAGCGGCCAAGCGAAAGCAUUAAGUAUUCCACCUGGGGAGUACGCCGGCAACGGUGAAACUCAAAGGAAUUGACGGGGGCCCGCACAAGCGGAGGAACAUGUGGUUUAAUUCGAUGAUACGCGAGGAACCUUACCCGGGCUUAAAUUGCAUUUGAAUAAUCUGGAAACAGGUUAGCCGCAAGGCAAAUGUGAAGGUGCUGCAUGGUUGUCGUCAGCUCGUGCCGUGAGGUGUCGGCUUAAGUGCCAUAACGAGCGCAACCCUUAUCUUUAGUUACUAACAGGUCAUGCUGAGGACUCUAGAGAGACUGCCGUCGUAAGAUGUGAGGAAGGUGGGGAUGACGUCAAAUCAGCACGGCCCUUACGUCCGGGGCUACACACGUGUUACAAUGGGGGGUACAGAAGGCAGCUACCUGGUGACAGGAUGCUAAUCCCAAAAGCCUCUCUCAGUUCGGAUCGAAGUCUGCAACCCGACUUCGUGAAGCUGGAUUCGCUAGUAAUCGCGCAUCAGCCAUGGCGCGGUGAAUACGUUCCCGGGCCU
This 1353-nucleotide ribosomal RNA is filed under the name uncultured bacterium. RNAcentral describes it as "bacterial SSU rRNA". It matches the Rfam family "Bacterial small subunit ribosomal RNA", at positions 28 to 1381 of the family's 1533-position model. The record is from RNAcentral.